GUUGAUAAGGUUAAGUGAAUAAGGGCGCACGGUGGAUGCCUUGGCACUAGGAGCCGAUGAAGGACGGGACUAACACCGAUAUGCUUUGGGGAGCUGUAAGUAAGCUAUGAUCCAGAGAUUUCCGAAUGGGGGAACCCAAUAUCUUUUAUAGGAUAUUACUUUUCAGUGAAUACAUAGCUGAUUAGAGGUAGACGCAGAGAACUGAAACAUCUUAGUACCUGCAGGAAGAGAAAGAAAAUUCGAUUCCCUGAGUAGCGGCGAGCGAAACGGGAAGAGCCCAAACCAACAAGCUUGCUUGUUGGGGUUGUAGGACUCCAAUAUGGUAGUCUGUUAGUAUAGUUGAAGGAUUUGGAAAAUUCCGCUAAAGAGGGUGAAAGCCCCGUAGACGAAAUGCUGACAACACCUAGGAGGAUCCUGAGUACGGCGGAACACGAGAAAUUCCGUCGGAAUCCGCGGGGACCAUCCCGCAAGGCUAAAUACUCCCUAGUGACCGAUAGUGAACCAGUACCGUGAGGGAAAGGUGAAAAGCACCCCGGAAGGGGAGUGAAAUAGAUCCUGAAACCGUGUGCCUACAACAAGUCAAAGCUCGUUAAUGAGUGAUGGCGUGCCUUUUGUAGAAUGAACCGGCGAGUUACGAUUGCAUGCGAGGUUAAGUCGAAGAGACGGAGCCGCAGCGAAAGCGAGUCUGAAUAGGGCGAAUGAGUAUGUAGUCGUAGACCCGAAACCAUGUGAUCUACCCAUGUCCAGGUUGAAGGUGCGGUAAAACGCACUGGAGGACCGAACCCACGUACGUUGAAAAGUGCGGGGAUGAGGUGUGGGUAGCGGAGAAAUUCCAAACGAACUUGGAGAUAGCUGGUUCUCUCCGAAAUAGCUUUAGGGCUAGCCUCGGAAUUGAGAAUGAUGGAGGUAGAGCACUGUUUGGACUAGGGGCCCAUCUCGGGUUACCGAAUUCAGAUAAACUCCGAAUGCCAUUCAUUUAUAUCCGGGAGUCAGACUGCGAGUGAUAAGAUCCGUAGUCGAAAGGGAAACAGCCCAGACCACCAGCUAAGGUCCCAAAAUAUAUGUUAAGUGGAAAAGGAUGUGGGGUUGCACAGACAACUAGGAUGUUGGCUUAGAAGCAGCCACCAUUUAAAGAGUGCGUAAUAGCUCACUAGUCGAGUGACCCUGCGCCGAAAAUGUAC
This 1181-nucleotide ribosomal RNA is filed under the name Enterococcus faecalis. Its description in RNAcentral is "partial 23S ribosomal RNA". It matches the Rfam family "Bacterial large subunit ribosomal RNA", at positions 1 to 1175 of the family's 2925-position model. The record is from RNAcentral. Lineage: Bacteria; Bacillati; Bacillota; Bacilli; Lactobacillales; Enterococcaceae.